GUGCUCAUCCUCCUGGUGGUGCGGCGGCUGCGAGUGCCAAGUGAGCACCCGAGGGGCCCCUCUUGGGAGGCUGUGUGGUGGGGGGCCCAAAUGCCCGGGUCCCGAGGCGGCAGAGAUGGGGAUUUGCUGGCGUCUGUUCGCGAUACCCCAGCUCUGGCAGGGUGGAGUCUGCACAGAGCUCGGAGUGCCCCUGUCCCCACCUAUCCCCAGAAACCCCAGCCCCGGAUGGCCCCCGGUAUCGGUUCCGGAAGAGGGACAAAGUGCUGUUCUAUGGCCGGAAGAUUAUGCGGAAGGUGUCACAAUCCACCUCCUCCCUCGUGGAUACCUCUGUCUCCGCCACUUCCCGGCCACGCAUGAAAAAGAAACUGAAGAUGCUCAACAUUGCCAAGAAGAUUCUGCGCAUCCAGAAAGAGACGCCCACACUGCAGCGGAAGGAGCCCCCACCCGCAGUGCUGGAAGCUGACCUGACCGAGGGCGACCUGGCUAACUCCCAUCUGCCCUCUGAAGUGCUUUAUAUGCUCAAGAACGUCCGGGUGCUGGGC
This 542-nucleotide small RNA is filed under the name Pongo abelii (Sumatran orangutan). Its description in RNAcentral is "retained intron". Lineage: Eukaryota; Metazoa; Chordata; Mammalia; Primates; Hominidae. The record is from RNAcentral.